UGAAAAACAAAGAUAGGGAUAAGUAUGCAGAGCUUUUAUCUCACAGAGAGCGGAGAAAGGUGGAAUUCCGUAGAUAAUUGCUGCAGAAACUCACCCUAGAGUUGCAGGCUGAACUUAUAGUAAGCUGUGCCGGUUUACGCCGUUAUUAAAGUAAGUAAAAAUUUGGGUGGUACCGCGGCAGACUCUCGCCCCAAGC
RNAcentral lists this non-coding RNA (196 nucleotides) under Clostridium sp. Its description in RNAcentral is "T-box sequence". It matches the Rfam family "T-box leader". Rfam says of the family: Uncharged tRNA acts as the effector for transcription antitermination of genes in the T-box leader family. T-boxes are found upstream of many aminoacyl-tRNA synthetase genes and some amino acid biosynthetic genes usually in Gram-positive bacteria. The record is from RNAcentral. Lineage: Bacteria; Bacillati; Bacillota; Clostridia; Eubacteriales; Clostridiaceae.